This 497-nucleotide ribosomal RNA is filed under the name uncultured bacterium. RNAcentral's name for it is "partial 16S ribosomal RNA". It matches the Rfam family "Bacterial small subunit ribosomal RNA", at positions 29 to 507 of the family's 1533-position model. The record is from RNAcentral.
UAUGAACGCUGGCGGCGUGCCUAAUACAUGCAAGUCGAGCGAACAGACGAGGAGCUUGCUCCUCUGACGUUAGCGGCGGACGGGUGAGUAACACGUGGAUAACCUACCUAUAAGACUGGGAUAACUUCGGGAAACCGGAGCUAAUACCGGAUAAUAUAUUGAACCGCAUGGUUCAAUAGUGAAAGACGGUUUUGCUGUCACUUAUAGAUGGAUCCGCGCCGCAUUAGCUAGUUGGUAAGGUAACGGCUUACCAAGGCAACGAUGCGUAGCCGACCUGAGAGGGUGAUCGGCCACACUGGAACUGAGACACGGUCCAGACUCCUACGGGAGGCAGCAGUAGGGAGUCUUCCGCAAUGGGCGAAAGCUUGACGGAGCAACGCCGCGUGAGUGAUGAAGGUCUUCGGAUCGUAAAACUCUGUUAUUAGGGAAGAACAAAUGUGUAAGUAACUAUGCACGUCUUGACGGUACCUAAUCAGAAAGCCACGGCUAACUACGUG